Molecule: ribosomal RNA, 459 nt
Filed under: uncultured bacterium
Lineage: Bacteria
Description: partial 16S ribosomal RNA
Rfam family: Bacterial small subunit ribosomal RNA
Source: RNAcentral
CCUACGGGCGGCAGCAGUGAGGAAUAUUGGUCAAUGGACGCGAGUCUGAACCAGCCAAGUCGCGUGCAGGAAGACGGUCCUAUGGGUUGUAAACCUCUUUUGUCGGGGGGCAAAAGACGCCACGCGUGUCGUUCCGAGAGUACCCUACGAAUAAGCAUCGGCUAACUCCGUGCCAGCAGCCGCGGUAAUACGGAGGAUUCAAGCGUUAUCCGGAUUUAUUGGGUUUAAAGGGUGCGAGGGCGGCCGAUCAAGUCAGCGGUAAAAUCGCGGGGCUCAACCUCGCUCUGCCGUUGAAACUGGCCGGCUGGAGUGGGGGAGAGGUAGGCGGAAUGCGUGGUGUAGCGGUGAAAUGCAUAGAGAUCACGCAGAACUCCGAUUGCGAAGGCAGCAUACCGGGGUACAACUGACGCUGAAGCACGAAAGCGUGGGUAGCGAACAGGAUUAGAUACCCGGGUAGUC